UCCCUGGUGGCUCAAACGGUAAAGCGUCUGCCUGCAACGUGGGAGACCCGGGUUCGAUUCCUGGUUCAGGAA
RNAcentral lists this transfer RNA (72 nucleotides) under Ovis aries (sheep). It matches the Rfam family "tRNA". From Rfam's summary of the family: Transfer RNA (tRNA) molecules are approximately 80 nucleotides in length. Their secondary structure includes four short double-helical elements and three loops (D, anti-codon, and T loops). Lineage: Eukaryota; Metazoa; Chordata; Mammalia; Artiodactyla; Bovidae. The record is from Rfam by way of RNAcentral.